This 432-nucleotide ribosomal RNA is filed under the name uncultured Rickettsiaceae bacterium. Its description in RNAcentral is "bacterial SSU rRNA". It matches the Rfam family "Bacterial small subunit ribosomal RNA", at positions 342 to 791 of the family's 1533-position model. The record is from RNAcentral. Lineage: Bacteria; Pseudomonadati; Pseudomonadota; Alphaproteobacteria; Rickettsiales; Rickettsiaceae.
CGGGGGGCAGCAGUGAGGAAUAUUGGACAAUGGGCGAAAGCCUGAUCCAGCAAUACCGCGUGAGUGAAGAAGGCCUUAGGGUUGUAAAGCUCUUUCAGCAGGGAAAAUAAUGAUGGUACCUGCAAAAGAAGUCCCGGCUAACUCCGUGCCAGCAGCCGCGGUAAUACGGAGGGGACUAGCGUUGUUCGGAUUUACUGGGCGUAAAGAGCGCGUAGGCGGUGUAUUAAGUUAGAAGUGAAAGCCUGGGGCUUAACCCCAGAAAUGCUUCUAAAACUGAUACGCUAGAGUACGGGAGAGGAUAGUGGAAUUCCUAGUGUAGAGGUGAAAUUCUUAGAUAUUAGGAGGAACACCGGUGGCGAAAGCGACUAUCUGGAACGUUACUGACGCUGAGGCGCGAAAGCGUGGGGAGCAAACAGGAUUAGAUACCCCAGU